CCUACGGGGGGCAGCAGUAGGGAAUCUUCCACAAUGGGCGAAAGCCUGAUGGAGCAACGCCGCGUGGGUGAAGAAGGUCUUCGGAUCGUAAAACCCUGUUGUUAGAGAAGAAAGUGCGUGAGAGUAACUGUUCACGUUUCGACGGUAUCUAACCAGAAAGCCACGGCUAACUACGUGCCAGCAGCCGCGGUAAUACGUAGGUGGCAAGCGUUAUCCGGAUUUAUUGGGCGUAAAGGGAACGCAGGCGGUCUUUUAAGUCUGAUGUGAAAGCCUUCGGCUUAACCGGAGUAGGGCAUUGGAAACUGGGAGACUGGAGUGCAGAAGAGGAGAGUGGAACUCCAGGUGUAGCGGUGAAAUGCGUAGAUAUAUGGAAGAACACCAGUGGCGAAAGCGGCUCUCUGGUCUGUAACUGACGCUGAGGUUCGAAAGCGUGGGUAGCAAACAGGAUUAGAUACCCGAGUAGUC
RNAcentral lists this ribosomal RNA (465 nucleotides) under uncultured bacterium. RNAcentral's name for it is "partial 16S ribosomal RNA". It matches the Rfam family "Bacterial small subunit ribosomal RNA", at positions 338 to 795 of the family's 1533-position model. The record is from RNAcentral.